UCGAAACUUGUUAAGUAAGUUGGCAUACAACAAAACUCGUUGAAGAAAAGUCGAUAAACGAAAUGAAUUCGGUAGAAAUCUCUGGUUUUAUCCCCAAACUUGGUCUAGUCGUAGUAGGAAUUGUGUUGGUAGAAUGCACUCGGCAAGGCUUGAAUUACCUGCAGCGAAAAAAUUCAAAGCCAGUGAUUAGACAAGUGAUUUUCUUUCCUGAUAAACAAAUUGCCUGUAAAGACUUUUUCGAUUCAGUCGAAGGCUGUUCGAGGAUUCGCUGCGAUUUCAGCCACACAACAACUGGCUUCAGGCAACUACUUUCCCACAUAAAGUCAGCAAGGAAAUCUAUCGACAUUGCUGUUUAUUGCAUCUCUUGUUUUGAGAUUGCAGAUGUUGUGUUGCAACGUCACAAAGUUGGAGUCAGAGUCAGAGUGAUUACAGACCAGAGCAUGGAGAUAGCUUUCGGAUCCCAGAAUCACCGUUUUAUGAAAGAUGGGAUCCGGGUAUAUACCAACAAACCCCCAUUUCUAAUGCACCACAAGUUUUUUAUUAUUGACGAUGAGCUGCUUUGCUCUGGGUCCUUCAACUGGACUUCACAAGCUGUCACUGGUAACAACGAAUCUGUCAUAAUCACUAAUGAUCCCUGGACCGUUGAACCUUUUUGUGCUGAAUUUCAAAAAUUGUGGCAAGAAACUAAGCCUGGAAAUUAACUCUUGUAUUUAUAGCUAAUACCAUAGAUUUUCUGUUUAUUCUAAUCUUCACCUUUAUUAGGGGGACUUCUUCUUUAUCUCUUAAAGGGACCUUGAAUUUUUGUUUGCCAAAAUUUUACUUAUAGCACAUGCGAUUCCGAUACCUGCUCAGAGACAGUAGAACUCCAAUAAAUUCUUUAAUUAUUUUCAUGAUCAACAAUAGAACUACAUUGAAUUUUAAAUGUCCGACAAUAGAACUCCAACGAUUUUAAAACUAUUUUCAUGUCCGAUAGUAGAAUAGAAGAACUUCAUUGAAUUUUGAAUAUCUCCAAGUGUCCGACAAUCCAUCCAUCCUUGAUUCCUUUCCGUACAGUCAAACGUGGAGGAAUCUUUUGGCUCCGUCAGUAGGUGGCUAAAAUCAAGUUGUCCCCCCCAGCCGCCAGAUGACGCGAGUGUCUUUGAGGGGACGAAAUUUUCGCCAUUUUGUUCCGAAACGCCAAGUGAAAAGGUAUUCCAAAUUCGUUACGGAAUUGAGAUGUCGAUCUACAUUUUCAGCAGUGAAAUUUAAUGGCAAUCUGGCAUAUAAUUUUCAUUUGGCCAAAUAAUCGAUCACGUGGACUGAAACUGCUUUCCAAUUUGCCGAAAUGUCGUCGGUUAUUAGCUUUACCUGUUCGGAUGCACGUCUCAUCUCACGCCGAAACACUACAGAGAUUUUAUUAGUUGGUGUUCAGGUUGGAGAUCCCGUUGCUUAACUGUUGCAGAAUGUGAGAACUCAACAAAGUCUGAGCUACAUGGUCGGCAUCAUUACAGUGAUUUCGUUGGAGCCAGCUGGUAAAAGGUGUAAUCGAGUCAAGUUGAGCUGCUGCUGCUGCAUGCAGUUUAUCGAGCUGGUGUUAUCCUGAAGUGUCAUUGCAGGAAGACUUUUUGAAAUGGACUUGAUGAUACUUAAACUAUGCCUGUGCAGUGGUUUUGCAGCCUGUUUCCAGUUGAGAGAUGUGAUUAUGCAGCUGAUACAGGAUUGAAGAAAAAGAACUGAAGUAGCUGUGCUGGUGUUCUCCUGAAAUUGCUGUGCCACAGGAGUUGCAGAUAGUGUUUGGUUCCUCAUAGAAGUUUGUUUAAAGAGUUUGGAGAUGAUCAUCCACUUCUGACUAUAACUUAUGUGAAACUUCAAAGUUGUAAGAAAUAUACAAGUCAAGUGCUAAA
This is a long non-coding RNA of Daphnia pulicaria, 1883 nucleotides long. RefSeq lists it as uncharacterized. The record is from RefSeq and is a predicted model, not a curated record. The transcript has 6 exons. Lineage: Eukaryota; Metazoa; Arthropoda; Branchiopoda; Diplostraca; Daphniidae.